GGCCCAAAUUUGAAGUUGAGUAGUUUAGAAGGAUUAUCUGACUCUACUUAACUAUUCUACUUUGAGUUUGUGCCC
RNAcentral lists this microRNA precursor (75 nucleotides) under Haemonchus placei. RNAcentral's name for it is "mir-5928 microRNA precursor family". It matches the Rfam family "mir-5928 microRNA precursor family". Lineage: Eukaryota; Metazoa; Nematoda; Chromadorea; Rhabditida; Trichostrongylidae. The record is from Rfam by way of RNAcentral.